This 74-nucleotide transfer RNA is filed under the name Candidatus Altarchaeales archaeon. RNAcentral's name for it is "Candidatus Altiarchaeales archaeon tRNA-Met". It matches the Rfam family "tRNA". Rfam says of the family: Transfer RNA (tRNA) molecules are approximately 80 nucleotides in length. Their secondary structure includes four short double-helical elements and three loops (D, anti-codon, and T loops). RNAcentral also lists the same sequence under 1 other name. The record is from RNAcentral. Lineage: Archaea; Nanobdellati; Candidatus Altarchaeota; Candidatus Altarchaeia; Candidatus Altarchaeales.
GGGCCCGUAGCUCAGUUGGUUAGAGCGCACGACUCAUAAUCGUGUGGUCGAGGGUUCGAAUCCCUUCGGGCCCA